AUUGAACGCUGGCGGCAGGCCUAACACAUGCAAGUCGAGCGGAUGAAGGGAGCUUGCUCCUGGAUUCAGCGGCGGACGGGUGAGUAAUGCCUAGGAAUCUGCCUGGUAUUGGGGGAUAACGUCCGGAAACGGGCGCUAAUACCGCAUACGUCCUGAGGGUGAAAGUGGGGGAUCUUCGGACCUCACGCUAUCAGAUGAGCCUAGGUCGGAUUAGCUAGUUGGUGGGGUAAAGGCCUACCAAGGCGACGAUCCGUAACUGGUCUGAGAGGAUGAUCAGUCACACUGGAACUGAGACACGGUCCAGACUCCUACGGGAGGCAGCAGUGGGGAAUAUUGGACAAUGGGCGAAAGCCUGAUCCAGCCAUGCCGCGUGUGUGAAGAAGGUCUUCGGAUUGUAAAGCACUUUAAGUUGGGAGGAAGGGCAGUAAGUUAAUACCUUGCUGUUUUGACGUUACCAACAGAAUAAGCACCGGCUAACUUCGUG
RNAcentral lists this ribosomal RNA (484 nucleotides) under uncultured bacterium. RNAcentral describes it as "partial 16S ribosomal RNA". It matches the Rfam family "Bacterial small subunit ribosomal RNA", at positions 30 to 507 of the family's 1533-position model. The record is from RNAcentral.